CAUGUAGGCGGUCUGCGAAGUUCGGAGGGACAGUCACCAGCUUAACUGGUGAAGGACUUGGAAAACUGGCGGACUUGAGAGCGAAAGAGGGACAUGGAAUUCCGGGUGGAGCAGUGAAAUGCGUAGAGAUCCGGAGGAACACCAAAGGCGAAGGCAGUGUCCUGGCUCGUUUCUGACGCUGAGGUGCGAAAGCCAGGGGAGCGAACGGGAUUAGAUACCCCGGUAGUCCUGGCCGUAAACGAUGACCACUAGGCGUGGGAGGGAUCGACCCCUUCCGUGCCGCAGUUAACACAGUAAGUGGUCCGCCUGGGGAGUACGGUCGCAAGACUAAA
This 332-nucleotide ribosomal RNA is filed under the name uncultured bacterium. RNAcentral describes it as "bacterial SSU rRNA". It matches the Rfam family "Bacterial small subunit ribosomal RNA", at positions 568 to 898 of the family's 1533-position model. The record is from RNAcentral.